UGGGGAAUAUUGGACAAUGGGCGCAAGCCUGAUCCAGCCAUGCCGCGUGAGUGAUGAAGGCCCUAGGGUUGUAAAGCUCUUUUAACGGGGAAGAUAAUGACGGUACCCGUAGAAUAAGCCCCGGCUAACUUCGUGCCAGCAGCCGCGGUAAUACGAAGGGGGCUAGCGUUGCUCGGAAUCACUGGGCGUAAAGGGUGCGUAGGUGGAUCUUUAAGUCAGGGGUGAAAUCCUGGAGCUCAACUCCAGAACUGCCUUUGAUACUGAGGAUCUUGAGUUCGGGAGAGGUAAGUGGAACUGCGAGUGUAGAGGUGAAAUUCGUAGAUAUUCGCAAGAACACCAGUGGCGAAGGCGGCUUUACUUGGCCCGAUACUGACACUGAGGCACG
RNAcentral lists this ribosomal RNA (385 nucleotides) under uncultured Bradyrhizobiaceae bacterium. Its description in RNAcentral is "bacterial SSU rRNA". It matches the Rfam family "Bacterial small subunit ribosomal RNA", at positions 355 to 755 of the family's 1533-position model. Lineage: Bacteria; Pseudomonadati; Pseudomonadota; Alphaproteobacteria; Hyphomicrobiales; Nitrobacteraceae. The record is from RNAcentral.